CCAUGCCGCGUGCAGGAUGACUGCCCUAUGGGUUGUAAACUGCUUUUGUCCAGGAAUAAACCCAGAUACGUGUAUCUGGCUGAAUGUACUGGAAGAAUAAGGAUCGGCUAACUCCGUGCCAGCAGCCGCGGUAAUACGGAGGAUCCGAGCGUUAUCCGGAUUUAUUGGGUUUAAAGGGUGCGUAGGCGGCCUAUUAAGUCAGGGGUGAAAUACGGUGGCUCAACCAUCGCAGUGCCUUUGAUACUGAUGGGCUUGAAUCCAUUUGAAGUGGGCGGAAUAAGACAAGUAGCGGUGAAAUGCAUAGAUAUGUCUUAGAACUCCGAUUGCGAAGGCAGCUCACUAAGCUGGUAUUGACGCUGAUGCACGAAAGCGUGGGGAUCGAACAGGAUUAGAUACCCUGGUAGUCCACGCCCUAAACGAUGAUAACUCGAUGUUGGCGAUAGACAGCCAGCGUCCCAGCGAAAGCGUUAAGUUAUCCACCUGGGGAGUACGCCCGCAAGGGUGAAACUC
Molecule: ribosomal RNA, 510 nt
Filed under: uncultured bacterium
Lineage: Bacteria
Description: bacterial SSU rRNA
Rfam family: Bacterial small subunit ribosomal RNA
Source: RNAcentral